Molecule: long non-coding RNA, 342 nt
Organism: Lolium rigidum
Lineage: Eukaryota; Viridiplantae; Streptophyta; Magnoliopsida; Poales; Poaceae
Exons: 4
Source: RefSeq, a predicted model, not a curated record
UUUUUUGUGAAUAAUUUGAGGAGGUACUGAUUGUGGAAGAUGAAAAUGGCAAUAUUUGUCGAAUGGGAAUAUGACACAAUGGAAGAUAAUGAUAUCCUUGUCGAGUAUAUAAGGUCAUGAGGGAAACACUGACCCUGUUUGUGUCAUCUAGAUCAUGAGGAUACAGCGCAACAUUGACCACUAUUGUUACCGGUGGAAUUGCUGUAGCAGUGUCGGGGGCUCGCAGCAAUUAUGUGACUGUUGUGGUUAUGAAUUUAGCUGCUACUCCUCUCGAGCUAAGAAUUUGGAGUCCAGGUUUCUACCUCUUUAUCCUGGGCUUCUGAAUGCUUGGACCUGUGGUGC